This is a long non-coding RNA of Hippocampus comes (tiger tail seahorse), 860 nucleotides long. RefSeq lists it as uncharacterized. The transcript has 2 exons. Lineage: Eukaryota; Metazoa; Chordata; Actinopteri; Syngnathiformes; Syngnathidae. The record is from RefSeq and is a predicted model, not a curated record.
AAAGGAGACACCAGCGGAUUGUGGAAGCAGACGAUGAGGACACAAAAAUUAAGGGAGAGAUGACAUUUACACAUUUUGCCAUUGUUCGGCCCGACACAAAGAAACACAAGCAAUGUCACCAGCUCAGGUGACCUCGCGACUGUGUGCUCCCUCCCUGCUUGUCUGUCUGGCAUCUGGGACUUUCCUAAAGAGGCCCAGUAGAGGUUCCGCUGUGUGUGAGUGGAAGGGAAGGAAGACUGUGCAUUGGGAAGAAUCAGCAUUUAAUCUGCAUUCAAACGGUGAAAGAAAUGUAAAAAUACUCUUAACCGGAUUUCCUCCCACAUAAACCAUUAAAAGUAAUUUGGAAAAUCUCCGUAAACCCACCAUUGUUAAGUGCCAAACAGACCUACAAUUCAUAUGUAGAAAUGCCUUGUACCGACACAAGACAUUGCUGUAGCAGUACUUUGAGUCGGGGGGACACAUGCUGCUGUUCAUGUGAUGGGACGUGACACUAGGUGUGGUGUUCUCCCGUCUUAGGGUGUAUUGUUACUUUCACUUCCGAGAGCAGGAGGUGAUUAAUUGAAGAGUUAGUGACUAAUUUAGGAAAACAUUUAGUGGUUUGGUUCCGGACUACUGCCUUGUGACUGCAGCCACGGAUGGUACUCAUUUUCUUCCUCGGAGAGACCGCGUGGUCACAGUCAUGAGAUAAUCCAACAUGGCUGCCCCUGUUUUUUUUUUCCAGACAUUCGAUGUUCUACUUAUAAUAUGAUGAUAUGAUGGGACCAUCAUGUGAGCAACAAGAUUUUUUAAUGCAUUUAAGUGCCUCUUCCACAAGUGCAACUGCACUACAGAAUCUGUGACAAAAAAAAAAAAAAAAAAAA